Molecule: long non-coding RNA, 2259 nt
Organism: Pecten maximus
Lineage: Eukaryota; Metazoa; Mollusca; Bivalvia; Pectinida; Pectinidae
Exons: 2
Source: RefSeq, a predicted model, not a curated record
ACAAGUGAUCGUACAUGAUGGACAGAUGAAGAGAUUGAAAACAAUGGCAUACCAAAGUAAGUCCCAUAAACUAAAUGUAGUAGAGUGAUUUAAUGUAGUUUUUAAUAAAAUAUAUAAAACAUUGAUGCUGUGUUGUUUUGUUAUAUAUAUAUAUAUAUAUACAUGUAUAUGUAUGCAUGUAUAGAAGACCAGUAUGCAGUAUUUUACCUGUAAUAUGCCCAACAUGUACUUUAAUUUGAAUUUUCGAAUGCAGUGGAACCACGAGAAAUCUUCGAGUUAUCCGAGUUAUCCGGACAGAAAGACAAAAGUGGGUAUAUUUUAAGACACUGACCAUGAAGUAUAUUUAUCCUUCAGUGCUUAGCAAACAUGGUAGAAUUGACGUUUUAUCCGAUUUAAUAGACAGCACUGACCGGCGACUGUUUCAUUUCUAAACGUAGAUAAGUUCCGCUUGAGCGAGCGGGUAGAUGAAUUGUUGACUAUCGUGUGUACUGUUAUCGGCGACCGCCUUAAAUCUCUAUAAAAACCGCCCAAGGGGGAGGCAGACAAAUCGUCACUAUAGAACGGUUGCUUAAGUUAUAGUAAUUGAAUGACUAGACGAGUGUAUUGCGAGAUAUUUCGGUGGGCGGGAACGAGUAACGCCCACCGAAAUAUCGAGUGUACACGAGUCUAGGACAUUCAAUAAAAUGGCUUGUAUCAUUGCCCGUCCAUCGGCUGUCAUUAAACUUCUAAAAACCAAUCAGAAUUGUCUCGGGUUUCUGAUUGAAUUCCCGCCAAAAACAAUCAACGAUCAAUUAGGAGUACAUUUCCCGCCAAAAACGUUAUCAGUUACAUGUAGUUCAAUGCGCACCCGACUUUGUAAGCGGUAAGCAGCAGGAUGUCAACCCCUUCAGCUAGCUUAAUGGUCAGUUUAAAGUACAGGGAUUUCCUUUCAUUACAAGGGGAUGAUUUUGACGACAUUGUGUUAUCUUAAGCAUUCAAGGAUAUAGAAAACGAAGUGAAAGUUUUUGAUGGGAUUUCCGACAUGUCGCUGACACCUAACGGGAAGGGGAUGCAAAACAUAUUUAGGAAUACACCACAUUACCAGCAAGAACAGACAUUAUUACAACCAAGAAGGUGACCGAUGUAUUCCGGAGUACUUCGAUAUGUACAAUGAUGUUUAUACAGGAGACUUCUCGGAGGAACCCCCAUUUGUUAUGGAAGACAGGUCGUCGGUGUAAACAAACCAAAACAACAUGUGAAAGUGAAAGGAAAUUACACACAAUUUACACUAUUGUACAAAUGCGGCGAACUGGACAACUGUUACACGUUAUGUUACAUUUGUAAACAGGGAAUCGUAUACAUAAUAUUUGUAACCAAACAUGUUUUUUUCAAGUUUUAAUAACACCUAUGUACUACAGACCCUAUUCGGCAUUGAUACAAAAACAUCCAGAUCGCUGUAAACACUUGCGCUUGACCAGAAAAAAAUCAAACGUUACAAUGUUUAUUUUACUCACCUGUAUGUAAUUGGGUCUUAAAACGACCAACAGCCACAUAAUUAUUUUAAUACAAUGAUUAAUAAAACAAAACUGUACGGUUAUUACAAUGUUCAAGCCCAGAUAGGCCUAGAUAAUCUGAUCACUUGUGUAUUAAUCCGUCACAGCGCCACCUAGGAAGGGCGAUCACACGUAACGGUAAAACCAAAAUCCGGCACGAACAAUGAAGGACUGGAUGUUUAUUUUACCUUCCGGUCAGUGCAAAGUUUUCUAAGAGAUUAAUAGCCAUUCUUCUCACCUGUGGAUACACUGGUCAGUAAACAAAAGAUCGAUAAUUACGUAUACACACGCAAAUGGCCAGUUUGACACGAAUUACCGUAAGCUGUUCACGGCUCGGUGCACCAGGUAAAUUUUUAGACACGACCAACUGGUCAUAAUUGUGGGGGUAAUUAACGUGAAUUAGUGGUCGUUGAGACUGGACAAGGUGGUCGUAAUAGUGAAGCGACCAAUACAAUGAUAUAGAGAGAAAAAAUCGGGACUGAAAAAAAAGUGCCCGUAAUAGCGGGGUGGUCGUAAGGUGAGGUUUCACUGUAUAAUAUAUAGAGGACACGGCCUUCAGCUUUAAUUUUCUGUGAUCGGAUUGACAUGAGGACACUGAAGUUUAAUAAUUACAUUAAAUAGAACUAACAUUGACUUUUUGCAUAGACAAAUUGGAAAUGAUUGUAUGCCUUGAAGUUUUUGUUUCAUUAAAGUUGAAAAUUACGGAAAUAAACUAAUGGUUCUGUGA